This 346-nucleotide ribosomal RNA is filed under the name Escherichia coli. Its description in RNAcentral is "bacterial SSU rRNA". It matches the Rfam family "Bacterial small subunit ribosomal RNA", at positions 1191 to 1533 of the family's 1533-position model. Lineage: Bacteria; Pseudomonadati; Pseudomonadota; Gammaproteobacteria; Enterobacterales; Enterobacteriaceae. The record is from RNAcentral.
CGGUGUUCUGUCUUACACCAGGGCUACACAUGUGCUACAAUGGCGCAUACAAAGAGAAGCGACCUCGCGAGAGCAAGCGGACCUCAUAAAGUGCGUCGUAGUCCGGAUUGGAGUCUGCAACUCGACUCCAUGAAGUCGGAAUCGCUAGUAAUCGUGGAUCAGAAUCGCACGGUGAAUACGUUCCCGGGCCUUGUACACACACCGCCCGUCACACCAUGGGAGUGGGUUGCAAAAGAAGUAGGUAGCUUAACCUUCGGGAGGGCGCUUACCACUUUGUGAUUCAUGACUGGGGUGAAAUCGUAACAAGGUAACCGUAGGGAACCUGCGGUUGGGAAUUCACCUCCUA